This is a long non-coding RNA of Pongo pygmaeus (Bornean orangutan), 747 nucleotides long. RefSeq lists it as uncharacterized. The transcript is spliced from 4 exons. NCBI's taxonomy places the organism in Eukaryota, Metazoa, Chordata, Mammalia, Primates, Hominidae. The record is from RefSeq and is a predicted model, not a curated record.
UUCCUUGAGAAAGAGGAGGCAAAUCCAAAAAGGACAUUAGUUGAGACUCUGAAGACCAUCCCUAUUUUGGGAAGCUCAAGAUGGAUGUCAGCAGGACCCUGGUUCCCAUUAAGGAGGCCUGAGUUUCCAGCUGCCCUGCUCCCAUUUCCUUGUAGCAAGGCAAUGGACAUUUGAAUAAGAGCCCUGCACAGCACUCCUGUUCUGGGGCCCAGGAUAUUGACUACAAAGGCUCCUGGGAAAGGAAUUUCAAUAGCAGAGCAGAGCAAAGAGACACCCUAAUCUCAGUGAACACUUGAAGGACAACUUAUGGGCUUUCACUGAAAUUGACUCCUUCUGAUUCCACUUCUUGACUGAGACUGGCAUUGGGAGAUGAGGGGAGAAGGCAUUGAAAGGGCAUCUCAAAUGGAGCCAGGAGCAGACAGCCCUCAAAGUGGGAAGCAGACAAAGGACCACGAGCCCCAAUAUCAGAAAGAGGCCUGCAUGUGAUUUGGCACCAGCCACCCUAGAGUGUGGAACUCGGAGGGACCAUCACUAGGGUCGUUGUCCAGCAGCUGAGAUACUCACAGGCCACAGGGAACAGAGGGUGAAGGAUUUGGUCGAUUUGUGUGGGGAUAAGGGUCUGAUCCUCCUCCUGCCGUGGUUCGACUGAGCUGAACAAACCGGAAACUUCUCUAGGAACUGGGCUAUACUAUACAUGUAAUUAAAAGUUAAUUAUCUUAAAAAAAAAAAGCAUUAAAUCUAUCUUUG